Molecule: non-coding RNA, 326 nt
Organism: Myodes glareolus (Bank vole)
Lineage: Eukaryota; Metazoa; Chordata; Mammalia; Rodentia; Cricetidae
Source: RefSeq, a predicted model, not a curated record
CUGCCUGGAAGAGAAAAAGUCACGGGAAGAAAAUGAGAAUCUAAAGCUCAGCCAUGUCAGUUUAGCUGCUGAAGGCCUCCCAGCUAGUGGGGAUACAAGUUCACACUGGGAUCACUCAGGGAGUCCCUGAUUUCUGGCAAUCCCUUCCAGAAUUAACUCCGACCCAAAAUGCAAUGCUCCUCGAUUGGCUUGGUGUCUGCAAGCUCUUUAGCAGACUCCCUGUGGUCUAUUUUGGAUUCUUUGUGUUCUCUGUUAUAUAUGAAUCAAGAUAAGGAUGUGAGGCUUCGUGAGCAAUGGGAACAUGAAAAUCAGUGAGAAAUGCCGCA